Long non-coding RNA from Odocoileus virginianus texanus, 3357 nucleotides. RefSeq lists it as uncharacterized. NCBI's taxonomy places the organism in Eukaryota, Metazoa, Chordata, Mammalia, Artiodactyla, Cervidae. The record is from RefSeq and is a predicted model, not a curated record.
ACAAGUACGAAAUGCAUUUGUAAAGUGAAAUGAACGACCUUGUAAGGAAACAAGUUAGCAGUAUUAUGCAAAUGUUGAUUUAUAGGGAAAUAUUUGACUUCAUAUUUUUCAAUAUAUCAGCUAGUUCAUGAAACUUGAAAUUAUUAAACCUUCUGGGCAAGGAUUAUAGAUUCACUAGAUCUGAUGAGCUAUCCAGAGGCAAAACUUCAGAUUUCUGAAAUUCUUUCACAGUUAUCAUGGCUACACGUGUAAUCUUGUAACAAGCAAUUUCUAGAAAUGUGUGAAUAAUCUAUCCAAUGCUUAUAAUAUUUUAUCCACUCAUGAUAUAACUAAACAAAGAAGAGAAUCUAGGAUCAAGAGCAAAACUCAGAAAAAUGUUGACAAACAAAAUCAAAUAUCAAAAAUAAAAGUAUGCACCAUAGAUAUGACUUUAAACACCAAAGAAACCCUCCAUUUAAUCCAUCCAGUGAAGUUUCAAAACCCUCAAAAAAGGUCCAAAAUUUCAUUAGGAUUUUGUAUGUGCAGAAACAUAGAUGUUAGAAAUAUAGUACAGGAUAUAAAUGGAAAAAAAUGAUACUACAGAGUAUGACACAAAAUAUAAUUCUUAACACAUAAAAAUCAGAUGCUUCAGGCAUGAACUGUGAUAUCCCUGUUCCUUUGGGCCUCCUGCUUAAGGAAAAAAGAAAACUGAAGGAAAACAAAUCAGACAUUUAAAAGUUUGCCAAAAUAUAAAUUUCUAGUUUGAAAAAUAAUAAAAAUAAAAUUAUUUCUGUGACCAUAAAUUCUUACAUAAAAUACUUUUCAAAAGCUUGAUUUACUUUAAAUCCUAGAUAGGUAAGUAUAGAUAUGUAGGUAUAGAAAUAGUUAAGUAUAGAUAUGUAGAUAUAGAAGUAGUAUAUAAGGUUUUAUUUGGUAAGGUUUAGUGGGGUUCCACAUAUAAAGGUAUUUGAGUAACAUUAAAAAAACUAUUUUUUUCUCUUUUCUUAAUAACUCUAUUAUGUCUAACAAUAAAUCCUUCUAUAGUGAAGAGGUAACACUUCUAAAACUUUAAAUUAUGAAAAUGUGCCAAUUUAUGACCUAAACUAAAUUUCCUCACAAUUAAUAAUAAGAAAUACACCUUUUGAUGAAACACAGAUACUAAAUCAAUUAUCAGGUAACAUCUAUAUAAUAAACUACUCGAGAAGUGAAGAAAAGCAGUGAAGCUAAAAGUAAAGAUUUUUUAAAUAAAAACAUCUGCUGCUAAAAUAAAACAGAAAAAGAAACUGUACAGUCAAUGAAAAAUAAAAACAAUAUGAUGAAGAGCCUUUACCAGUAUCUUAGAGAUGCAAAAAAUUAAACAAAUAUGAUAGAAUGGAAAAAGUUAAUUCUCACAUAUUCUGAAAAGGAUAUUAAGUACAUUUUAGAUUUGGAGAAACUAUGUAGACAAAGUCACUCUCAAAAUAUUCACUAUUUAUUCCAUCACAACAGAAUGUAUAAUUGUCAUCUCAUGUACCGUGUAUUUAAGAGGGCAGAUUCAGUCGAAGCCCUUAAAACAAAAUGGAUCUCAUUGCCUUGGACAGUAUACAUUGCAGGUUUAUUUGCAAUAUAUUUUAGAAUCAUUUUUAUAAAUCAUUCUGUCUCAGUUGUAAGAAAAACACAAGUUAAAGACAUAAUGUUGCUCCCUAAUCCAGUAUUUCUGUCAGGUUUAACUAGAUAUGCUCAUUUUUUGAAGUAUGCAAGAUAACCCCCAAAGCUUAUAUAACUUGUGCAUCAUUCAAAACAGAAAAUUAUUGAGCAAUUAAUUAUUUACUUGUAAGUAUUUUCCAAGGAUGAACUAAUGCUUCUGAAUGAGUUUCUGAGAAAUUUUAAGUAGAGGAGCAAAUUAAACAUUAUGUUUUAUGGUGACAGAUAAAAAUGGUUUCUCUUACCAAAAACAAAACUUUCAUCUCUCAGUGUCUGCACUAAAGCAGCAAAUAUAUAUACAUAUUCUAUCAUUUUUCUAAUCUCUAUUAAAUGAUUAGUUUAACAAUGAAAUAUUUUAAUCAUCUGAAUCACUUAAGGAUAUUGGGGGAGAAACCAGAAGGAAACCAGAGAAUAAGAGUUAAUUUUGCACCAUUUUGCUCUCAUAAUUCUGUGGUCAUAGUCUUCACAAAACUAUAGUUAUACUCUAAACCUAAUUUCAGGCAAUGACCAAUUCACUUCAUGUAAUCAUUCUAUAUUAAAAUUUCAAUGUGUUCUAUUCAUAUAAAUAAAAUAGUUCUUUACCAUAUUUUAUUGAGAAAAAGAUGAUAAAUAUCUUUAAAAGUAUUUCAAGAGCAUAUGUAAAGUGAUCUGUGCAUUUCAUGCAUUACUAUUAAUAUUAUUUUAGAUAGUAAGCUGCUCUAUCCUUUCCUAGAAUUAUCAUCAUUGCAUUCUAAAACAUGAUAGCUUGGUUCCUUUAAAAAAUCCUUAAAUUUUCCAAUAUUAGUCAGCAUGUUCAAUUAUCAAAUGCACAUAUAACCAUAAAUUGAAAGGUACAUAUACUGAAAAUUUUUAAUUAAGUGAAUUCUCCUUAGAUAUAUAUGUAUAUGUCUAUACAUAUAUAUCCCAUGGCAAAUAAAAGAUAACAAGGACAAACAUGUUAUCUAAAAUUGUUAUAUCUUACCAGGAAAUAAAAAUUAUUACAUGUGAAAGUGUAGUGAGUCGUGAUUCAUGAAUGAAACCAUAAGCAAAUAAAAAUGGUCAUAUUUUAGGAAGUAGGCUUUGUUAAAAAUUUGAAUGUCAAUGUGUCACGGGGGGCCCUGGAAAAACAGAGAUGGUUAAAUGUGGCUUGUUCUCCAGCCCCUAUGUGUAAAUGUGUUUCUGCUCCUUGACAAGCACUGGACACCCAAAAGAGUGACCUUCAGGGAUCUGAUACAUGAGGAGCAAGGCAAACAAACCUGAGAGUUCAUUGAUCGGAACCUAGGUCAGUACGUCCUAUGUCAUAAUGAAACUUCAUAAGCUUCUCCUGCUUAUUCACAAGGCAGAGGAUAGUUUGUGGAACUCUAGGAUAACUGCCUUAUAGCUCAGGGCUAUGGUAACAUCAAACUUCAGUAACCUUCUUUCCAAAGAUGAAUCAUUUCUUUAUUACUUAUGAACCAGAAUGUUCUCUGAGAUUCCAAUCUGCUUGCUGUGAUGACCUACAUCUCCCAACCAUCUAUCCAGAGCCUCAAUGUUCAAGAUCCAGUUCAACGUUGUCACUCCAUUCAACAUACAUUUAUUUACUUAGCACUAGCUAUGUGCCAAUUACUAUGUGGAGACUUGGGGUUAAAAACAGAGGAGACCACCCUUGUCUUUCAGAAGUUCCCCUUUCCAUAGGAAGAUAGAGAAGCUGACAUUAAACUAUGUAUUAAUAACAAA